This 28-nucleotide small RNA is filed under the name Bombyx mori (domestic silkworm). RNAcentral's name for it is "ovarian small RNA-8682". Lineage: Eukaryota; Metazoa; Arthropoda; Insecta; Lepidoptera; Bombycidae. The record is from RNAcentral.
UGGAACCGAACUUUCACUGACUAUGGUA